Molecule: ribosomal RNA, 497 nt
Filed under: uncultured bacterium
Lineage: Bacteria
Description: partial 16S ribosomal RNA
Rfam family: Bacterial small subunit ribosomal RNA
Source: RNAcentral
GAUGAACGCUGGCGGCGUGCCUAAUACAUGCAAGUCGAGCGAACGGACGAGAAGCUUGCUUCUCCGAUGUUAGCGGCGGACGGGUGAGUAACACGUGGAUAACCUACCUAUAAGACUGGGAUAACUUCGGGAAACCGUAGCUAAUACCGGAUAAUAUUUUGAACCGCAUGGUUCAAAAGUGAAAGACGGUCUUGCUGUCACUUAUAGAUGGAUCCGCGCUGCAUUAGCUAGUUGGUAAGGUAACGGCUUACCAAGGCAACGAUGCAUAGCCGACGUGAGAGGGUGAUCGGCCACACUGGAACUGAGACACGGUCCAGACUCCUACGGGAGGCAGCAGUAGGGAAUCUUCCGCAAUGGGCGAAAGCCUGACGGAGCAACGCCGCGUGAGUGAUGAAGGUCUUCGGAUCGUAAAACUCUGUUAUUAGGGAAGAACAUAUGUGUAAGUAACUGUGCACAUCUUGACGGUACCUAAUCAGAAAGCCACGGCUAACUACGUG